Molecule: transfer RNA, 66 nt
Filed under: Pieris canidia kaolicola
Lineage: Eukaryota; Metazoa; Arthropoda; Insecta; Lepidoptera; Pieridae
Description: tRNA-Val
Source: RNAcentral
CAAAUUAGAGCUUGUUAAAGUGUUUCAUUUACCAUUGAAAAGAAAUCAUAAUUAUGAUUAGUUUGA